Mugil cephalus (flathead mullet) is the source of this 1761-nucleotide long non-coding RNA. RefSeq lists it as uncharacterized. The transcript is spliced from 4 exons. NCBI's taxonomy places the organism in Eukaryota, Metazoa, Chordata, Actinopteri, Mugiliformes, Mugilidae. The record is from RefSeq and is a predicted model, not a curated record.
GCCUUUUCCACAUGAUUUUUUUUUAAUAUUGUCUGCCUCUGCCAGGUGACCUGAACGACCUGAACGAGGUGAACAAGGAUAAGCCCGCCACUUACCCUCGGUGACCUGAACACGGCGAAUAAGGAUAAGCCCACCACAAGAGGCCACCUCCUUCAGCUUCAGCUCCCUUACUCAACCGCCACCAGAGAGAUGGUAUGUAUGAAAGUGGUCAGACUGUGUGUGUCCUGAUCCUAUUAACGGGUAUCUUCCAAUAAGUAUUGUCAAUAAGCUAGUGAAUUUAGUUUAUAGUUUAGUGUAGGCGAUACACGCCCCUCCUGCCUCUCCCCAGGACUACCAGGGGGGACUUGGCCUUAGUGCUGCAAAAUAUACGGUGUAUUGCUAGAACUCCAAUUACGCCUCCUGCCUUGCUUGCACUAAACCUGUGUCCUAAUAUCUGUUCAAAUAUAGCCGCAGGUGUCUCUGUGAAAGAGCCCGAGCUAUAGGCUGACGAGUCAUGAAUACUGCCUUAACAACCUACUUUUAGGGAAGAAAAGCACGCCAUCUUGAAUGGUUGCUUUUGUUAUUAUGUGAGUAAAGUUUUUAUUUAUUUUAUUUUUUAUUUGUCUUUUCCCUCCCCUUUUCCCUUGUAUAGUGUAGUGUAUAUUCAGUGUACAUUAAACAGAAGGAUAUCAUGCUACUGUGAUCUUGUCUUUUAUUUCUGAAUGUGUUUGAGUUCCCCAUUUUAUUUCCACUGUUCAGUGACAGACACAGAGACUGCAUGCUUUUAAAUAAUACACAGGUAACAGACAUUAGACCUCGACAUACUUUAAUAGUCCACAAGCAAAUUACUUACAGUAGCUUUGUUGCACAUACAAGUAAACCCUUGUAAAACCACAAAAAGAGACAAUUACGGAGCUUCAUAGAGAGCCAUGGCCACCUGGUCACCUAAUAUCUAGUCUUUAUGUUGAGCCAAGCUGACUGAAAAAAGUCCCACAUGCUUAUCUAGUUACUGCAUUUUCCACGUGUAACAGGCCAGGCCAUGUUUAAACAACGAAGCAAAUCAGUGUGGAAUCAGUGACAAGGUGAACAAAGAUAAGCCCAACACAUGCACUGCAGAGUCACCUCAUUAUGGGACCAAAACAGAGAGAGGUUUAGAAUUUACAGAGCCCCAUCUGCAGUGAAAUCGUGAAGAUUCCUAUUGAUGAGAGUGGUGUAGGGGACAAAACUUACAGAACGACCUGGACAAGGCGAACAAAGAUAAGCCCAACACAUGCCCUGCAGAGUCACCUCAUUAUGGGACCAAAACAGAGAGAGGUUUAGGAUAAACAGAGCCCCAUCUGCAUUGAAAUUGUGAAGAUUCCUAUUGAUGAGAGUGGUGUAGGGGACAAAACUUACAGAACAACCUGGACAAGGCCAAUAAGGAUAAGCCCAACACAUGCCCUGCAGAGUCACCUCAUUAUGGGACCACAACAGAGAGAGGUUUAGAAUUUACAGAGCCCCAUCUGCAGUGAAAUCGUGAAGAUUCCUAUUGAUGAAAGUGGUGUAGGGACCAGGGCCUAGGCCAUGAAUAAACAACCGAGCAAAUGGGUGGAAUUGCUGUGGAAUCAAUGCUCACUGCACCCUCUCUGAGACAGCAGACAUACAUACAAAGACAUUGGUGGACUGGUGGAGGUGGACAGGGGAGCUCCCAAAACAGAGAGAGGUUUAGAAUUUACAGAGCCCCAUCUGCAGUGAAAUCGUGAAGAUUCCUAUUGAUGAGAGUGGUGUAGGGGACAAAACUUA